GAUGAACGCUGGCGGCGUGCCUAAUACAUGCAAGUCGAGCGAACAGACGAGGAGCUUGCUCCUCUGACGUUAGCGGCGGACGGGUGAGUAACACGUGGAUAACCUACCUAUAAGACUGGGAUAACUUCGGGAAACCGGAGCUAAUACCGGAUAAUAUAUUGAACCGCAUGGUUCAAUAGUGAAAGACGGUUUUGCUGUCACUUAUAGAUGGAUCCGCGCCGCAUUGGCUAGUUGGUAAGGUAACGGCUUACCAAGGCAACGAUGCGUAGCCGACCUGAGAGGGUGAUCGGCCACACUGGAACUGAGACACGGUCCAGACUCCUACGGAAGGCAGCAGUAGGGAAUCUUCCGCAAUGGGCGAAAGCCUGACGGAGCAACGCCGCGUGAGUGAUGAAGGUCUUCGGAUCGUAAAACUCUGUUAUUAGGGAAGAACAAAUGUGUAAGUAACUAUGCACGUCUUGACGGUACCUAAUCAGAAAGCCACGGCUAACUACGUG
Molecule: ribosomal RNA, 497 nt
Filed under: uncultured bacterium
Lineage: Bacteria
Description: partial 16S ribosomal RNA
Rfam family: Bacterial small subunit ribosomal RNA
Source: RNAcentral